AUUGAACGCUGGCGGCAUGCCUUACACAUGCAAGUCGAACGGUAACAGGUCUUCGGAUGCUGACGAGUGGCGAACGGGUGAGUAAUACAUCGGAACGUGCCUAGUAGUGGGGGAUAACUACUCGAAAGAGUGGCUAAUACCGCAUGAGAUCUACGGAUGAAAGCAGGGGAUCGCAAGACCUUGUGCUACUAGAGCGGCCGAUGGCAGAUUAGGUAGUUGGUGGGAUAAAAGCUUACCAAGCCGACGAUCUGUAGCUGGUCUGAGAGGACGAUCAGCCACACUGGGACUGAGACACGGCCCAGACUCCUACGGGAGGCAGCAGUGGGGAAUUUUGGACAAUGGGCGCAAGCCUGAUCCAGCAAUGCCGCGUGCAGGAUGAAGGCCUUCGGGUUGUAAACUGCUUUUGUACGGAACGAAAAGCCCUGGGUUAAUACCCUGGGGUCAUGACGGUACCGUAAGAAUAAGCACCGGCUAACUACGUGCCAGCCGCCGCGGUAA
RNAcentral lists this ribosomal RNA (498 nucleotides) under uncultured bacterium. RNAcentral's name for it is "partial 16S ribosomal RNA". It matches the Rfam family "Bacterial small subunit ribosomal RNA", at positions 30 to 523 of the family's 1533-position model. The record is from RNAcentral.